GAGUUUGAUCCUGGCUCAGGAUGAACGCUGGCGGCGUGCUUAACACAUGCAAGUUGAACGGACUCAUAUUGAAACCUAGUGAUGUAUGAGUUAGUGGCGGACGGGUGAGUAACGCGUGGAGAACCUGCCGUAUACUGGGGGAUAACACUUAGAAAUAGGUGCUAAUACCGCAUAAGCGCACAGCUUCGCAUGAAGCAGUGUGAAAAACUCCGGUGGUAUGAGAUGGACCCGCGUCUGAUUAGCUAGUUGGUGAGGUAACGGCCCACCAAGGCGACGAUCAGUAGCCGGCCUGAGAGGGCGACCGGCCACAUUGGGACUGAGACACGGCCCAAACUCCUACGGGAGGCAGCAGUGGGGAAUAUUGCACAAUGGGGGAAACCCUGAUGCAGCGACGCCGCGUGAGUGAAGAAGUAUUUCGGUAUGUAAAGCUCUAUCAGCAGGGAAGAAGAAAGACGGUACCUGACUAAGAAGCCCCGGCUAACUACGUGCCAGCAGCCGCGGUAAUACGUA
This 510-nucleotide ribosomal RNA is filed under the name uncultured bacterium. RNAcentral's name for it is "bacterial SSU rRNA". It matches the Rfam family "Bacterial small subunit ribosomal RNA", at positions 9 to 529 of the family's 1533-position model. The record is from RNAcentral.